AGAAUGGGCUUAGAAGAUGUUCAUGAUCUUUUGAGGAAAGCGAAAAUGCUGAGAAAUUGUUGCUGUUUUUUGAUCUCAUGAGGCGCGUAGUGGUGCUACGCAACGAAUGAGAUCAAAAAGCAGGGGCAAUUUAUCGACAUUUGCAGCCCUCAAUAAGAUCGUGAACAGCUUCUUAAAAAACU
Molecule: microRNA precursor, 182 nt
Filed under: Endozoicomonas montiporae CL-33
Lineage: Bacteria; Pseudomonadati; Pseudomonadota; Gammaproteobacteria; Oceanospirillales; Endozoicomonadaceae
Description: MIR821
Source: RNAcentral